This 468-nucleotide ribosomal RNA is filed under the name uncultured bacterium. RNAcentral's name for it is "partial 16S ribosomal RNA". It matches the Rfam family "Bacterial small subunit ribosomal RNA", at positions 28 to 507 of the family's 1533-position model. The record is from RNAcentral.
GACGAACGCUGGCGGCGUGCUUAACACAUGCAAGUCGAACGGAAAGGCCCUGCUUUUGUGGGGUGCUCGAGUGGCGAACGGGUGAGUAACACGUGAGUAACCUGCCCUUGACUUUGGGAUAACUUCAGGAAACUGGGGCUAAUACCGGAUAGGAGCUCCUGCUGCAUGGUGGGGGUUGGAAAGUUUCGGCGGGUGGGGAUGGACUCGCGGCUUAUCAGCUUGUUGGUUGGGUAGUGGCUUACCAGGGCUUUGACGGGUAGCCGGCCUGAGAGGGUGACCGGCCACAUUGGGACUGGGAUACGGCACAGCCUACUACGGGAGGCAGCAGUGGGGAAUAUUGCACAAUGGGCGGAAGCCUGAUGCAGCAACGCCGCGUGCGGGAUGACGGCCUUCGGGUUGUAAACCGCUUUCGCAUGUGACGAAGCGUGAGUGACGGUAAUGGGUAAAGAAGCACCGGCUAACUACGUG